Molecule: ribosomal RNA, 1784 nt
Filed under: metagenome
Description: bacterial LSU rRNA
Rfam family: Bacterial large subunit ribosomal RNA
Source: RNAcentral
UGUGAACGCGCCGUGGACUUCAUGGGAGUGAGAAUGCAGACAUGAGUAGCGAGAGACGGGUGAGGAUCCCGUCCGCUGGAUGACCAAGGGUUCCAGGGCCACGUUCAUCGUCCCUGGGUGAGUCGGGUCCUAAGGCGAGGCCGACAGGCGUAGUCGAACGGAUGAACGGGUCGAUAUUCCCGUACCGGCUUUCAGCCGCCAAAACCGAGGCUUGGAGUACUAACCUCCGGGUCCGGGCUUACUGCUCCUUCGGGGGCGGGAUGCCCUGGCCUGUUGGGACCGAUCCUUGUAGUAGGUCAGCGCAGGAGUGACGCAGAAGGGUAGCCGGCCGCGGAGGUGGUUUUCCGUGGUCAAGCACGCAGGGCGUGGGACAGGCAAAUCCGUCCCGCAUGGGUCCGAGGUGCGAUGAUGGGGGCCUUAUGGCCCGAUAUCCGGUGAUCCCGGCUGCCGAGAAAAGCUUCGGCGUCAGGCUCAAAGCCGCCCGUACCCCAAACCGACACUGGUGGUCAGGUAGAGAAUACCAAAGCGAUCGAGCGAAUCCUGGUCAAGGAACUCGGCAAAUCACUCCCGUUCCUUCGGUUUAAGGGAGACCCCCGAUGGUGAACACACUUGCUGUGGGAGCUUUUGGGGGUGGCACAGACCAGGGGGUAGCGACUGUUUACCAAAAACACAGGUGCAUGCGAAGGCGCAAGCCGCUGUAUAUGCACUGACGCCUGCCCGGUGCCGGAAGGUUAAGAGGAUCCGUCAGCCUUCGGGUGAAGCGGUGAAUUCAAGCCCCGGUAAACGGCGGUGGUAACUAUAACCAUCCUAAGGUAGCGAAAUUCCUUGUCGGGUAAGUUCCGACCUGCACGAAUGGCGUAACGACUUCCCCACUGUCUCGACCAGGAGCUCGGCGAAAUUGCAGUACGAGUAAAGAUGCUCGUUAAGCGCAGAAGGACGAAAAGACCCCGGGACCUUUACUAUACCUUGGUAUUGGCGUUAGGCGCGGAUUGUGUAGCAUAGGCGGGAGGCUUCGAAGCGGGUGCGCCAGCAUUCGUGGAGCCGCAAGGUGAAAUACCGCUCUGUUCUCGUUUGACGUCUAACCUCGACAAGUCAUCCUUGUCAGGGACAGUGCCUGGCGGGUAGUUCAACUGGGGCGGUUGCCUCCCAAAGAGUAACGGAGGCGCUCAAAGGUCCGCUCAGCCCGGUUGGCAAUCGGGUGUCGAGUGUAAUCGCACAAGCGGGCUUGACUGCGAGGACGACGGUCCGAGCAGGGACGAAAGUCGGAGAUAGUGAUCCGGUGCCGGCGCACGGGCGCGGCAUCGCUCAACGGAUAAAAGGUACCCCGGGGAUAACAGGCUGAUCAUUCCCAAGAGUCCAUAUCGACGGGAUGGUUUGGCACCUCGAUGUCGGCUCGUCGCAUCCUGGGGCUGGAGCAGGUCCCAAGGGUUCGGCUGUUCGCCGAUUAAAGCGGCACGCGAGCUGGGUUCAGAACGUCGUGAGACAGUUUGGUCUCUAUCCUCUGCGCUCGUUGGAAUCCUGAGGAGGCCUGCCCAUAGUACGAGAGGACCUGGGUGGACGAACCUCUGGUAUGCCGGUUGUCGCGCCAGCGGCACGGCCGGUUGGCUACGUUCGGGAGGGAUAACCGCUGAAAGCAUCUAAGCGGGAAGCCUGCUCCAAGAUUAGGAUUCCGUACGGUCUUGAACCGUUGUAGCCCGCAUGUUGAACACGUGUUUGAUAGGCCGGAGGUGGAAGCCCCGUGAGGGGUGGAGCCGACCGGUACUAACGGGCGACGGCGACACAAC